GUUGGUAGGCUGCCUACUACACCGUGUCAAUGCGCAUCAUGCAACAAUGUUAUGCAUUUUCUGUCGCAAUUAUUUUCAGGACAUGAUCAUUAGGCCUGUAUUUACAUCUUCUCGCAAGUAUUUACAUUAAGUCGGUAACAAUAUGGGCUACACCUGGGUGUAUUCAUUACGGAAACGUUUGCCACUUAAGAACCAAGUGAAACGGUGAGGGACCAACCUCAAUUUUUACAACCUUCUCGUUUGUGUUUUCUGUCUGGUGUAAACUGUUCUGUUGCAAAACGUUUUGUAACAGAAUCUGCUUGACGAUUACACCCGCGGAGAUGACACUACUCUGAUCCCUGAGGACUGGUUUCCCAUCCUUGCUCUAGGCCUAAAGAUGACUGACUUGUUAAACGAAAUGUUCAACAUGACAUUAUCCAACGCCUCACAUACUUGACAUUUUAGAGAAUUCAUCAGAAUAAAUUAGGCCUACAUGGCAAAUGGGACUACUCUACAUUUCUAAGCUAUUAUGUCACUCUUCUGUAAACUGUACUCACUAAUUCAGGUUUUGGCGCUGUUUAUCUCGCAGAUAGGUUGUUAAUUCUAUAAAUUAGAUGUCAUUAUUAUUUUGACAUGUGCUGAUAGCUGUGUUACCAACAAUUUAUCAACCACGUGAGUAUAGGAACCUCGUAUAAAAUAGGUUAGUCACUGUAAAACAUCAAUACGGCAUUGUGAUUGUUUAAAAGUGUAUUGGCGCCUUGCGUUCUACUUCAACCACUGAUGCAGUAUGGUAAGACAGGAUGGUUGUGGGUGUUAGACAUCACUACAUCAUGAGCAGCUACUUGACCUUUUAGAGAAAUGUACCUUGACUCAAUUACUGUUUGUUAGUAAAGAGGUGUGAUGACAUGCAACACUCUUCCCUGAGGACGGUUCCUAUUGAGUUUACGGAAAAGGGAAGACUUUAUUUGUGGUAUAUUCUCUAAAAUGAUUGAGUGAUGACUUUGCUGUUGAGGGAGCAAGCUCUGUUGGUAGAGCAUGGUGCUAAAGCCUGACAUCUUGGGUCUGUAAUAGAAUCUGUUCUCUCAGAUCACUUAACACCCUGAAACUGAUGUCUGACUAUUGUACCAGAAAUUGAUUAUUUCAGUAGUUAAACCAUGUCUCUUAUUUUGUAGUGAUCAGGGCAAAGGUGGUUGGCGUGAAAGCUGUGUCUGGUAACACCAACUAUGAUGUCAAACAGAUCGAGGUAUGAUCAGCCUUUUUAUUAAGUGGUUGUUCCUUCCUGCACUGAAACAUUGAAGCCCCCUGAACCCCAGUCUGACAGCUAGUCCCAAUUUGGACCCAAGCCUUAAAUGAUUGAAGAUCUGGAUAGGUAUAAGCAGUGUAAUUGUGGAGCUUCCACCAUUAAUAAAAAGGGGUUAUUUAUAGAAAUGAGUCAUGCCUUUAGCACUGAGCAAGAGGCAUGUUUCAGUCAAUCCUCCUACCAGUCCUAGACAAUGGUGACAUCAUCUAUAUUAAUUCAGAUGCCACUUCAUUAAAGCAGUUUGUUGCAGUUUAUCAUAGUGCACUGCUCUUUAUUAUGGGCGACAGGUCUAGUACUCAACGCUACAUUCUCAACUAGGAAGUUGGUCCUGUUUGAUGUCACGUAGGUUGACGCAUUGCAAUAUUUUAAUGUAUUAAUCCCUUUACGAAACCUCACUAAAAGCAUUACUAACCUUUAGACAUGAGUUACCACACCUGGGAUGAAUAACUUUGGAAAUUUCCUUCGGUCUUUACUCCGUUAGGUAAAUAUAUUUUUUUGUGCCUUGUUGUAAAACUGUCUGCUGCAUCUACGGCAAUUCAAAGUGUUGAGGACCUUAUUACUGAAUGUUUGUUUAUGACUGCUUCUGUUCUGCUUGUAUUUUGAUGUGUAAUUCAGGGCUCCUCUGUAAAAGAGACCAGUGAGGUUAAGUUGUCCCUACAUGCCAUAUAGAACAAACUAUAUAUGUAGAUGUUUGACGGAUCCUUUCUCUCCUUGUGAUUGGCUAGAUGUUCAAAGGUCCUAACCAGGAUAUCCACGUCAUCUUCACUGGAGGCCCGUGCCGCGCCUUUCUGGAAAUCAACAAGGAGUAUUUCUUCACAGGCAGGCUGAAUACUGAUGGAACAGUGCAUGUAAUAAUGUGUGACUUCAUUCAGUCCUGGGGGGCUUUGAGUGACACACAAAUGAGGAGCUUGACUCUGCGCUACCAAAGCGGCUGUGAUUGCACGAUCAUCCGCUGCACUUCCCUUCCCUGUCCAAUCAGCACCUCUCAUGAGUGCCUGUGGAUGGACAUUGGCCAAAACGGACCCUGGGACAAUAACAUUGCCUGUAUCAAGGGGGGUGAUGGAUCCUGUGCCUGGUAAAAGGGGAUGGCACCGGCCAAGUAGUUUCUGGAUAUUGAUGGCCUGUAAGUUUAGGGGUCAUCUACUCACAGGAAAGAAAGCUACCAACCCAAAUAAUUAUGAUUAAAUGAAUCUAGGAAGUAGUUUCUAACAAUUACAAGACCUAUAUUGACUUGUCAAGUUGUGUUGUCAGAGGACAGGUUGCAGGAAAUGGUCAAUGUGAAAGAGGGCAACAAUCUUAUGAAAAUGUCACUUGUUGUAAAAGUACA
This is a long non-coding RNA of Oncorhynchus nerka (sockeye salmon), 2606 nucleotides long. RefSeq lists it as uncharacterized. The record is from RefSeq and is a predicted model, not a curated record. Lineage: Eukaryota; Metazoa; Chordata; Actinopteri; Salmoniformes; Salmonidae. The transcript has 3 exons.